This 1519-nucleotide ribosomal RNA is filed under the name metagenome. RNAcentral describes it as "bacterial SSU rRNA". It matches the Rfam family "Bacterial small subunit ribosomal RNA". The record is from RNAcentral.
AGAGUUUGAUUCUGGCUCAGAACGAACGCUGGCAGCGUGGAUUAGGCAUGCAAGUCGAACGAGAUUGACUGAAUAGCAAUAUUCGGUCAUGAGAGUGGCGGAAGGGCGAGUAAUGCACGGGCAAUCUACCCCCUGGCUGGGGAUAACCCGGCGAAAGCCGAGCUAAUACCGAAUGAGGCUUUGCAGGACAUCCUGCAGACGCCAAAGGCGGGGACCCGCAAGGGCCUGUCGCCAGGGGAGGAGCCCGUGUGCCAUCAGCUUGUUGGCGGGGUAACGGCCCACCAAGGCUUACGGCUAGCUGGUCUGAGAGGACGACCAGCCGCACUGGGACUGAGACACUGCCCAGACUCCUACGGGAGGCUGCAGUCGAGGAUCAUUCGCAAUGGGCGCAAGCCUGACGAUGCGACGCUGCGUGGAGGACGAAGGCCUUCGGGUCGUAAACUCCUGUCAUGAGGGAAAAAGGUCCCGCCCGUGAAUAGCGGGUGGGCUCGAUGGUACCUCAAGAGGAGGCCACGGCUAACUCUGUGCCAGCAGCCGCGGUAAUACAGAGGUGGCAAGCGUUGUUCGGAUUUACUGGGCGUAAAGGGCGCGUAGGCGGCCCCGUGUGUCGCGUGUGAAAGCCCCGGGCUCAACCCGGGAAGUGCGCGCGAAACUGCGGGACUAGAGCAGAGGAGGGGAGAGCGGAAUUCAUGGUGUAGCGGUGAAAUGCGUUGAUAUCAUGAGGAACACCGGUGGCGAAGGCGGCUCUCUGGAAUCUUGCUGACGCUGAGGCGCGAAAGUCGGGGGAGCAAACAGGAUUAGAUACCCUGGUAGUCCCGACCGUAAACGGUGCACACUGGGCGUGGGGGGUUUUCACCCCCUCCGUGCCGCAGCUAACGUGUUAAGUGUGCCGCCUGGGGAGUACGGCCGCAAGGCUAAAACUCAAAGAAAUUGACGGGGGCCCGCACAAGCGGAGGAGCAUGUGGCUUAAUUCGAUGCAACGCGAAGAACCUUACCCGGGUUUGACAUGUACCUGCACGUCCCAUGAAAGUGGGAUUCCUUCGAGGGUGGUACACAGGUGCUGCAUGGCUGUCGUCAGUUCGUGCCGUGAGGUGUUUGGUUAAGUCCAGCAACGAACGCAACCCCUGUGACCAGUUGCCAGCGCGUAAUGGCGGGAACUCUGGUCAGACUGCCUGUUUACGCAGGAGGAAGGUGGGGACGACGUCAAGUCAGUAUGGCCCUUACAUCCGGGGCUGCACACGUGCUACAAUGGCCGGUACAAAGGGACGCAAGACCGCGAGGUGGAGCAAAUCCCCAGAGCCGGCCCCAGUUCAGAUUGCGGUCUGCAACCCGACCGCAUGAAGUUGGAUUCGCUAGUAACGGCGCAUCAGCUACGGCGCCGUGAAUACGUUCCCGGGCCUUGUACACACCGCCCGUCACAUCAUGAAAGCCGUCUGCACCCGAAGCCGCUCUCCGAACCCGCAAGGGACGUGGGCGUCCAAGGUGUGGGUGGUGAUUGGGAUGAAGUCGAAACAAGGUA